RNAcentral lists this ribosomal RNA (2893 nucleotides) under Escherichia coli O104:H4. RNAcentral describes it as "bacterial LSU rRNA". It matches the Rfam family "Bacterial large subunit ribosomal RNA". The record is from RNAcentral. Lineage: Bacteria; Pseudomonadati; Pseudomonadota; Gammaproteobacteria; Enterobacterales; Enterobacteriaceae.
ACUAAGCGUACACGGUGGAUGCCCUGGCAGUCAGAGGCGAUGAAGGACGUGCUAAUCUGCGAUAAGCGUCGGUAAGGUGAUAUGAACCGUUAUAACCGGCGAUUUCCGAAUGGGGAAACCCAGUGUGAUUCGUCACACUAUCAUUAACUGAAUCCAUAGGUUAAUGAGGCGAACCGGGGGAACUGAAACAUCUAAGUACCCCGAGGAAAAGAAAUCAACCGAGAUUCCCCCAGUAGCGGCGAGCGAACGGGGAGCAGCCCAGAGCCUGAAUCAGUGUGUGUGUUAGUGGAAGCGUCUGGAAAGGCGCGCGAUACAGGGUGACAGCCCCGUACACAAAAAUGCACAUGCUGUGAGCUCGAUGAGUAGGGCGGGACACGUGGUAUCCUGUCUGAAUAUGGGGGGACCAUCCUCCAAGGCUAAAUACUCCUGACUGACCGAUAGUGAACCAGUACCGUGAGGGAAAGGCGAAAAGAACCCCGGCGAGGGGAGUGAAAAAGAACCUGAAACCGUGUACGUACAAGCAGUGGGAGCACGCUUAGGCGUGUGACUGCGUACCUUUUGUAUAAUGGGUCAGCGACUUAUAUUCUGUAGCAAGGUUAACCGAAUAGGGGAGCCGAAGGGAAACCGAGUCUUAACUGGGCGUUAAGUUGCAGGGUAUAGACCCGAAACCCGGUGAUCUAGCCAUGGGCAGGUUGAAGGUUGGGUAACACUAACUGGAGGACCGAACCGACUAAUGUUGAAAAAUUAGCGGAUGACUUGUGGCUGGGGGUGAAAGGCCAAUCAAACCGGGAGAUAGCUGGUUCUCCCCGAAAGCUAUUUAGGUAGCGCCUCGUGAAUUCAUCUCCGGGGGUAGAGCACUGUUUCGGCAAGGGGGUCAUCCCGACUUACCAACCCGAUGCAAACUGCGAAUACCGGAGAAUGUUAUCACGGGAGACACACGGCGGGUGCUAACGUCCGUCGUGAAGAGGGAAACAACCCAGACCGCCAGCUAAGGUCCCAAAGUCAUGGUUAAGUGGGAAACGAUGUGGGAAGGCCCAGACAGCCAGGAUGUUGGCUUAGAAGCAGCCAUCAUUUAAAGAAAGCGUAAUAGCUCACUGGUCGAGUCGGCCUGCGCGGAAGAUGUAACGGGGCUAAACCAUGCACCGAAGCUGCGGCAGCGACGCUGAUGCGUUGUUGGGUAGGGGAGCGUUCUGUAAGCCUGUGAAGGUGUGCUGUGAGGCAUGCUGGAGGUAUCAGAAGUGCGAAUGCUGACAUAAGUAACGAUAAAGCGGGUGAAAAGCCCGCUCGCCGGAAGACCAAGGGUUCCUGUCCAACGUUAAUCGGGGCAGGGUGAGUCGACCCCUAAGGCGAGGCCGAAAGGCGUAGUCGAUGGGAAACAGGUUAAUAUUCCUGUACUUGGUGUUACUGCGAAGGGGGGACGGAGAAGGCUAUGUUGGCCGGGCGACGGUUGUCCCGGUUUAAGCGUGUAGGCUGGUUUUCCAGGCAAAUCCGGAAAAUCAAGGCUGAGGCGUGAUGACGAGGCACUACGGUGCUGAAGCAACAAAUGCCCUGCUUCCAGGAAAAGCCUCUAAGCAUCAGGUAACAUCAAAUCGUACCCCAAACCGACACAGGUGGUCAGGUAGAGAAUACCAAGGCGCUUGAGAGAACUCGGGUGAAGGAACUAGGCAAAAUGGUGCCGUAACUUCGGGAGAAGGCACGCUGAUAUGUAGGUGAAGCGACUUGCUCGUGGAGCUGAAAUCAGUCGAAGAUACCAGCUGGCUGCAACUGUUUAUUAAAAACACAGCACUGUGCAAACACGAAAGUGGACGUAUACGGUGUGACGCCUGCCCGGUGCCGGAAGGUUAAUUGAUGGGGUUAGCGCAAGCGAAGCUCUUGAUCGAAGCCCCGGUAAACGGCGGCCGUAACUAUAACGGUCCUAAGGUAGCGAAAUUCCUUGUCGGGUAAGUUCCGACCUGCACGAAUGGCGUAAUGAUGGCCAGGCUGUCUCCACCCGAGACUCAGUGAAAUUGAACUCGCUGUGAAGAUGCAGUGUACCCGCGGCAAGACGGAAAGACCCCGUGAACCUUUACUAUAGCUUGACACUGAACAUUGAGCCUUGAUGUGUAGGAUAGGUGGGAGGCUUUGAAGUGUGGACGCCAGUCUGCAUGGAGCCGACCUUGAAAUACCACCCUUUAAUGUUUGAUGUUCUAACGUGGACCCGUAAUCCGGGUUGCGGACAGUGUCUGGUGGGUAGUUUGACUGGGGCGGUCUCCUCCUAAAGAGUAACGGAGGAGCACGAAGGUUGGCUAAUCCUGGUCGGACAUCAGGAGGUUAGUGCAAUGGCAUAAGCCAGCUUGACUGCGAGCGUGACGGCGCGAGCAGGUGCGAAAGCAGGUCAUAGUGAUCCGGUGGUUCUGAAUGGAAGGGCCAUCGCUCAACGGAUAAAAGGUACUCCGGGGAUAACAGGCUGAUACCGCCCAAGAGUUCAUAUCGACGGCGGUGUUUGGCACCUCGAUGUCGGCUCAUCACAUCCUGGGGCUGAAGUAGGUCCCAAGGGUAUGGCUGUUCGCCAUUUAAAGUGGUACGCGAGCUGGGUUUAGAACGUCGUGAGACAGUUCGGUCCCUAUCUGCCGUGGGCGCUGGAGAACUGAGGGGGGCUGCUCCUAGUACGAGAGGACCGGAGUGGACGCAUCACUGGUGUUCGGGUUGUCAUGCCAAUGGCACUGCCCGGUAGCUAAAUGCGGAAGAGAUAAGUGCUGAAAGCAUCUAAGCACGAAACUUGCCCCGAGAUGAGUUCUCCCUGACUCCUUGAGAGUCCUGAAGGAACGUUGAAGACGACGACGUUGAUAGGCCGGGUGUGUAAGCGCAGCGAUGCGUUGAGCUAACCGGUACUAAUGAACCGUGAGGCUUAACC